Molecule: ribosomal RNA, 397 nt
Filed under: uncultured bacterium
Lineage: Bacteria
Description: partial 16S ribosomal RNA
Rfam family: Bacterial small subunit ribosomal RNA
Source: RNAcentral
AUACGUAGGGGGCGAGCGUUGUCCGGAGUGAUUGGGCGUAAAGGGCGCGUAGGCGGCCCGGUAAGUCUGGAGUGAAAGUCCUGUUUUUAAGAUGGGAAUUGCUUUGGAUACCGUCGGGCUUGAGUGCAGGAGAGGUAAGUGGAAUUCCCAGUGUAGCGGUGAAAUGCGUAGAGAUUGGGAGGAACACCAGUGGCGAAGGCGACUUACUGGACUGUAACUGACGCUGAGGCGCGAAAGUGUGGGGAGCAAACAGGAUUAGAUACCCUGGUAGUCCACACUGUAAACGAUGAAUGCUAGGUGUAGGGGGUAUCGACCCCUUCUGUGCCGCAGUCAACACAAUAAGCAUUCCGCCUGGGGAGUACGGCCGCAAGGUUGAAACUCAAAUGAAUUGGCGGGG